GCGUGAGCUACCUGCAGUCGACGGUGAAGCUCAGCUUGCUGGGUGGAUCAGUGGCGAACGGGUGAGUAACACGUGAGCAACCUGCCCCCUACUUCGGGAUAAGCCUUGGAAACGGGGUCUAAUACCGGAUAUGAACGUCUGCCGCAUGGUGGGUGUUGGAAAGUUUUUCGGUGGGGGAUGGGCUCGCGGCCUAUCAGCUUGUUGGUGGGGUAAUGGCCUACCAAGGCGUCGACGGGUAGCCGGCCUGAGAGGGCGACCGGCCACACUGGGACUGAGACACGGCCCAGACUCCUACGGGAGGCAGCAGUGGGGAAUAUUGCACAAUGGGCGAAAGCCUGAUGCAGCGACGCCACGUGAGGGAUGACGGCCUUCGGGUUGUAAACCUCUUUCAGCAGGGAAGAAGCGCAAGUGACGGUACCUGCAGAAGAAGCGCCGGCUAACUACGUGCCAGCAGCCGCGGUAAUACGUAGGGCGCAAGCGUUGUCCGGAAUUAUUGGGCGUAAAGAGCUCGUAGGCGGUCUGUCGCGUCUGGUGUGAAAUCCCAUGGCUCAACUGUGGGCUUGCAUCGGGUACGGGCAGACUAGAGUGCUGUAGGGGAGACUGGAAUUCCUGGUGUAGCGGUGGAAUGCGCAGAUAUCAGGAGGAACACCGAUGGCGAAGGCAGGUCUCUGGGCAGUUACUGACGCUGAGGAGCGAAAGCAUGGGGAGCGAACAGGAUUAGAUACCCUGGUAGUCCAUGCCGUAAACGUUGGGCACUAGGUGUGGGGCGGGUUCCACUCGUUCUGUGCCGUAGCUAACGCAUUAAGUGCCCCGCC
RNAcentral lists this ribosomal RNA (815 nucleotides) under Promicromonospora sp. Its description in RNAcentral is "bacterial SSU rRNA". It matches the Rfam family "Bacterial small subunit ribosomal RNA", at positions 44 to 873 of the family's 1533-position model. Lineage: Bacteria; Bacillati; Actinomycetota; Actinomycetes; Micrococcales; Promicromonosporaceae. The record is from RNAcentral.